GUAAACCAUCAGAGUUGAUCUUCUAUUAUUCUCAUUUUAUAUGCUUGGAAAUUAAUACUGAAAAUUUGGACUGGGUAUCCAAGGCAAGACACCUAACUAGAUGCCACCAGGAAGAACAUCUCCCACAAAAACAGACCAAAAUAUCCAGUAAAUCAGCAUACUCAGAACAGAUCAUCUGAAGGAAUGAACUAAAAGAGAUUAGAAAGACAACCCAGACACCAGGAUGAAAGGGAGAGGAAGCUGGGAAUCCUUCUUGGGGUUGCUGAAUAUGGGACAUGUUCCAGGCCCUGAAUGGCUCUGGAUUUGAUAACCAUCUCAUGUUGAUGGGCCUGACUUCAAGUGGAAGAAAAAAAAAAGAAAAGAAAACCUCCUUCUUUACUGUCAAAAUAACAAACGGAAUGAGAUUUUAGAAGAACAUUGACUGAUCUUUACUUCAUAAUUGAAAGAUGGGCCUAUUAAAGGGACACAGCAGGCCUGAUGGAAUUG
RNAcentral lists this long non-coding RNA (486 nucleotides) under Homo sapiens (human). RNAcentral's name for it is "HSALNT0154720". The record is from RNAcentral. Lineage: Eukaryota; Metazoa; Chordata; Mammalia; Primates; Hominidae.